UCGGGUGACUAUAGCAAGGAGGUCACUCCUGUUCCCAUGCCGAACACAGAAGUUAAGCUCCUUAGCUUCGAUGGUAGUCGAACUUACGUUCCGCUAUAGUAGAACGUUGCCAGGC
This 115-nucleotide ribosomal RNA is filed under the name Staphylococcus aureus. The record is from RNAcentral. Lineage: Bacteria; Bacillati; Bacillota; Bacilli; Caryophanales; Staphylococcaceae.